UGGCCCCGCCGGUGCAUUAGCUAGUUGGUAAGGUAAAGGACUUACCAAGGCGAUGAUGCAUAGCCGAGUUGAGAGACUGAUCGGCCACAUUGGGACUGAGACACGGCCCAAACUCCUACGGGAGGCAGCAGUAGGGAAUCUUCCACAAUGGACGCAAGUCUGAUGGAGCAACGCCGCGUGAGUGAAGAAGGUUUUCGGUAUCGUAAAAGCUCUGUUGUUGGUGAAGAAGGAUAGAGGUAGUAACUGGCCUUUAUUUGACGGUAAUCAACCAGAAAGUCACGGGCUAACUACGUGCCAGCAGCCGCGGUAAAU
Molecule: ribosomal RNA, 312 nt
Filed under: uncultured Lactobacillus sp.
Lineage: Bacteria; Bacillati; Bacillota; Bacilli; Lactobacillales; Lactobacillaceae
Description: bacterial SSU rRNA
Rfam family: Bacterial small subunit ribosomal RNA
Source: RNAcentral